AGAGUUUGAUCAUGGCUCAGAACGAACGCUGGCGGCAGGCUUAACACAUGCAAGUCGAGCGCCCAGCAAUGGGAGCGGCGGACGGGUGAAUAACGCGUGGGAAUAUGCCCUUUGGUACGGAACAACUCAGGGAAACUUGAGCUAAUACCGUAUGAGCCGGUAACGGGAAAGAUUUAUCGCCAAAGGAUUAGCCCGCGUCCGAUUAGCUAGUUGGUGAGGUAAUGGCUCACCAAGGCACCGAUCGGUAGCUGGUCUGAGAGGACGACCAGCCACACUGGGACUGAGACACGGCCCAGACUCCUACGGGAGGCAGCAGUGGGGAAUCUUGGACAAUGGAGGAAACUCUGAUCCAGCCAUGCCGCGUGAGUGAUGAAGGCCUUAGGGUUGUAAAACUCUUUCGGCGGGGACGAUAAUGACGGUACCCGCAGAAGAAGCUCCGGCUAACUUCGUGCCAGCAGCCGCGGUAAUACGAAGGGGGCUAGCGUUGUUCGGAAUUACUGGGCGUAAAGCGCGCGCAGGCGGCCUUUCAAGUCAGGGGUGAAAGCCCGGAGCUCAACUCCGGAAUUGCCUUUGAAACUGUUAGGCUUGAGUACGGGAGAGGUGAGUGGAAUUCCCAGUGUAGAGGUGAAAUUCGUAGAUAUUGGGAAGAACACCGGUGGCGAAGGCGGCUCACUGGCCCGUAACUGACGCUCAGCGCGACAGCGUGGGGAUCAAACAGGAUUAGAUACCCUGGUAGUCCACGCCGUAAACGAUGAACGCUAGCCGUUGGCAGGCUUGCUUGUCAGUGGCGCAGCUAACGCAUUAAGCGUUCCGCUGGGGAGUACGGCGCAGGGUGAAACUCAAGGAAUUGACGGGGCCCGCACAAGCGGUGGAGCAUGUGUUUAAUUCGACGCACGCGCAGAACCUUCCAGGUUUGACAUUCGUGCCAUGCUCAGAG
Molecule: ribosomal RNA, 937 nt
Filed under: uncultured bacterium
Lineage: Bacteria
Description: bacterial SSU rRNA
Rfam family: Bacterial small subunit ribosomal RNA
Source: RNAcentral